CGGUUAAGUUAGAAAGGGCGCACGGUGGAUGCCUUGGCACUAGGAGCCGAUGAAGGACGGGACGAACACCGAUAUGCUUCGGGGAGCUGUAAGCAAGCUUUGAUCCGGAGAUUUCCGAAUGGGGAAACCCACCACUCGUAAUGGAGUGGUAUCCAUAUCUGAAUACAUAGGAUAUGAGAAGGCAGACCCGGGGAACUGAAACAUCUAAGUACCCGGAGGAAGAGAAAGCAAAUGCGAUUCCCUGAGUAGCGGCGAGCGAAACGGGACCAGCCCAAACCAAGAGGCUUGCCUCUUGGGGUUGUAGGACACUCUGUACGGAGUUACAAAGGAACGAGGUAGAUGAAGAGGUCUGGAAAGGCCCGCCAUAGAAGGUAACAGCCCUGUAGUCAAAACUUCGUUCUCUCCUGAGUGGAUCCUGAGUACGGCGGAACACGUGAAAUUCCGUCGGAAUCCGGGAGGACCAUCUCCCAAGGCUAAAUACUCCCUAGUGACCGAUAGUGAACCAGUACCGUGAGGGAAAGGUGAAAAGCACCCCGGAAGGGGAGUGAAAGAGAUCCUGAAACCGUGUGCCUACAAGUAGUCAGAGCCCGUUAACGGGUGAUGGCGUGCCUUUUGUAGAAUGAACCGGCGAGUUACGAUCCCGUGCAAGGUUAAGCAGAAGAUGCGGAGCCGCAGCGAAAGCGAGUCUGAAUAGGGCGAAUUGAGUACGUGGUCGUAGACCCGAAACCAGGUGAUCUACCCAUGUCCAGGGUGAAGUUCAGGUAACACUGAAUGGAGGCCCGAACCCACGCACGUUGAAAAGUGCGGGGAUGAGGUGUGGGUAGGGGUGAAAUGCCAAUCGAACCUGGAGAUAGCUGGUUCUCUCCGAAAUAGCUUUAGGGCUAGCCUCAAGGUAAGAGUCUCGGAGGUAGAGCACUGAUUGGACUAGGGGCCCCUACCGGGUUACCGAAUUCAGUCAAACUCCGAAUGCCGAUGACUUAUCCUUGGGAGUCAGACUGCGAGUGAUAAGAUCCGUAGUCGAAAGGGAAACAGCCCAGACCGCCAGCUAAGGUCCCAAAGUAUACGUUAAGUGGAAAAGGAUGUGGAGUUGCUUAGACAACCAGGAUGUUGGCUUAGAAGCAGCCACCAUUUAAAGAGUGCGUAAUAGCUCACUGGUCGAGUGACUCUGCGCCGAAAAUGUACCGGGGCUAAACGUAUCACCGAAGCUGCGGACUGUUCUUCGAACAGUGGUAGGAGAGCGUUCUAAGGGCUGUGAAGCAAGACCGGAAGGACUUGUGGAGCGCUUAGAAGUGAGAAUGCCGGUAUGAGUAGCGAAAGAGGGGUGAGAAUCCCCUCCACCGAAUGCCUAAGGUUUCCUGAGGAAGGCUCGUCCGCUCAGGGUUAGUCGGGACCUAAGCCGAGGCCGAAAGGCGUAGGCGAUGGAUAACAGGUUGAUAUUCCUGUACCACCUCCUCACCAUUUGAGCAAUGGGGGACGCAGGAGGAUAGGGUAAGCGCGGUAUUGGAUAUCCGCGUCCAAGCAGUUAGGCUGGGAAAUAGGCAAAUCCGUUUCCCGUGAAGGCUGAGCUGUGAUGGCGAGCGAAUUAUAGUAGCGAAGUUCCUGAUUCCACACUGCCAAGAAAAGCCUCUAGCGAGGUGAGAGGUGCCCGUACCGCAAACCGACACAGGUAGGCGAGGAGAGAAUCCUAAGGUGAUCGAGAGAACUCUCGUUAAGGAACUCGGCAAAAUGACCCCGUAACUUCGGGAGAAGGGUGCUCUGUUAGGGUGCAAGCCCGAGAGAGCCGCAGUGAAUAGGCCCAGGCGACUGUUUAGCAAAAACACAGGUCUCUGCGAAGCCGUAAGGCGAAGUAUAGGGGCUGACGCCUGCCCGGUGCUGGAAGGUUAAGAGGAGCGCUUAGCGUAAGCGAAGGUGCGAAUUGAAGCCCCAGUAAACGGCGGCCGUAACUAUAACGGUCCUAAGGUAGCGAAAUUCCUUGUCGGGUAAGUUCCGACCCGCACGAAAGGCGCAACGAUCUGGGCACUGUCUCAACGAGAGACUCGGUGAAAUUAUAGUACCUGUGAAGAUGCAGGUUACCCGCGACAGGACGGAAAGACCCCGUGGAGCUUUACUGCAGCCUGAUAUUGAAUGUUGGUACAGCUUGUACAGGAUAGGUAGGAGCCUUGGAAACCGGAGCGCCAGCUUCGGUGGAGGCAUCGGUGGGAUACUACCCUGGCUGUAUUGACCUUCUAACCCGCCGCCCUUAUCGGGCGGGGAGACAGUGUCAGGUGGGCAGUUUGACUGGGGCGGUCGCCUCCUAAAAGGUAACGGAGGCGCCCAAAGGUUCCCUCAGAAUGGUUGGAAAUCAUUCGCAGAGUGUAAAGGCACAAGGGAGCUUGACUGCGAGACCUACAAGUCGAGCAGGGACGAAAGUCGGGCUUAGUGAUCCGGUGGUUCCGCAUGGAAGGGCCAUCGCUCAACGGAUAAAAGCUACCCCGGGGAUAACAGGCUUAUCUCCCCCAAGAGUCCACAUCGACGGGAGGUUUGGCACCUCGAUGUCGGCUCAUCGCAUCCUGGGGCUGUAGUCGGUCCCAAGGGUUGGGCUGUUCGCCCAUUAAAGCGGUACGCGAGCUGGGUUCAGAACGUCGUGAGACAGUUCGGUCCCUAUCCGUCGCGGGCGCAGGAAAUUUGAGAGGAGCUGUCCUUAGUACGAGAGGACCGGGAUGGACGCACCGCUGGUGUACCAGUUGUUCUGCCAAGGGCAUCGCUGGGUAGCUAUGUGCGGACGGGAUAAGUGCUGAAAGCAUCUAAGCAUGAAGCCCCCCUCAAGAUGAGAUUUCCCAUUCCGCAAGGAAGUAAGAUCCCUGAAAGAUGAUCAGGUUGAUAGGUCUGAGGUGGAAGUGUGGCGACACAUGGAGCUGACAGAUACUAAUCGAUCGAGGACUUAACCAAUUU
This 2931-nucleotide ribosomal RNA is filed under the name Bacillus velezensis. Its description in RNAcentral is "bacterial LSU rRNA". It matches the Rfam family "Bacterial large subunit ribosomal RNA". The record is from RNAcentral. Lineage: Bacteria; Bacillati; Bacillota; Bacilli; Caryophanales; Bacillaceae.